This 253-nucleotide ribosomal RNA is filed under the name uncultured bacterium. RNAcentral describes it as "partial 16S ribosomal RNA". It matches the Rfam family "Bacterial small subunit ribosomal RNA", at positions 524 to 776 of the family's 1533-position model. The record is from RNAcentral.
UACGGAGGGUGCAAGCGUUAUCCGGAUUUACUGGGUUUAAAGGGUGCGUAGGUGGGUAGGAAAGUCAGUGGUGAAAUCUUCGGGCUUAACCCGGAAACUGCCAUUGAUACUAUUUAUCUUGAAUACUUUGGAGGUAAGCGGAAUAUGUCAUGUAGCGGUGAAAUGCUUAGAUAUGACAUAGAACACCAAUUGCGAAGGCAGCUCACUACACGAAUAUUGACACUGAGGCACGAAAGCGUGGGGAGCAAACAGG